This 515-nucleotide ribosomal RNA is filed under the name uncultured bacterium. Its description in RNAcentral is "bacterial SSU rRNA". It matches the Rfam family "Bacterial small subunit ribosomal RNA", at positions 12 to 524 of the family's 1533-position model. The record is from RNAcentral.
UUUGAUCCCUGGCUCAGAUUGAACGCUGGCGGCAUGCUUUACACAUGCAAGUCGAACGGACUUGGGGGCUUGCUCCCAGGUUAGUGGCGAACGGGUGAGUAAUGCAUCGGAACGUACCGUGUAGUGGGGGAUAACGUAGCGAAAGUUACGCUAAUACCGCAUGAGAUCUACGGAUGAAAGCAGGGGAUCGCAAGACCUUGCGCUAUAUGAGCGGCCGAUGUCGGAUUAGCUAGUUGGUGGGGUAAAGGCUCACCAAGGCGACGAUCCGUAGCGGGUCUGAGAGGAUGAUCCGCCACACUGGGACUGAGACACGGCCCAGACUCCUACGGGAGGCAGCAGUGGGGAAUUUUGGACAAUGGGCGCAAGCCUGAUCCAGCCAUGCCGCGUGAGUGAAGAAGGCCUUCGGGUUGUAAAGCUCUUUUGUCCGGGAGCAAAUCUGCGUGGUUAAUACCCAUGCAACUGAGAGUACCGGAAGAAUAAGCACCGGCUAACUACGUGCCAGCAGCCGCGGUAAU